AUUGAACGCUGGCGGCAGGCUUAACACAUGCAAGUCGAGCGGGGGGAGGUAGCUUGCUACCGGACCUAGCGGCGGACGGGUGAGUAAUGCUUAGGAAUCUGCCUAUUAGUGGGGGACAACAUCUCGAAAGGGAUGCUAAUACCACAUACGUCCUACGGGAGAAAGCAGGGGAUCUUCGGACCUUGCGCUAACAGAUGAGCCUAAGUCGGAUUAGCUAGUUGGUGGGGUAAAGGCCUACCAAGGCGACGAUCUGUAGCGGGUCUGAGAGGAUGAUCCGCCACACUGGGACUGAGACACGGCCCAGACUCCUACGGGAGGCAGCAGUGGGGAAUAUUGGACAAUGGGGGGAACCCUGAUCCAGCCAUGCCGCGUGUGUGAAGAAGGCCUUAUGGUUGUAAAGCACUUUAAGCGAGGAGGAGGCUACUUUAGUUAAUACCUAGAGAUAGUGGACGUUACUCGCAGAAUAAGCACCGGCUAACUCUGUGCCAGCCGCCGCCGUAA
This 501-nucleotide ribosomal RNA is filed under the name uncultured bacterium. RNAcentral describes it as "partial 16S ribosomal RNA". It matches the Rfam family "Bacterial small subunit ribosomal RNA", at positions 30 to 523 of the family's 1533-position model. The record is from RNAcentral.